Trichoplusia ni (cabbage looper) is the source of this 633-nucleotide long non-coding RNA. RefSeq lists it as uncharacterized. The transcript has 2 exons. Lineage: Eukaryota; Metazoa; Arthropoda; Insecta; Lepidoptera; Noctuidae. The record is from RefSeq and is a predicted model, not a curated record.
CCUGUUCGUGCCUUCUGAAGCGCCCGUCGCGUGGGCUAACGUGGGCAAAGCUAAGUGGAGUCAUGGCGUAUUAGACACAUCAGUAGAACAGAAGUCGCCAGUAACACCGGAGCGGUCGUUGCUGCGAGCUAUCUGUCAGGCGCGGGGCUCAACGGGCUAUAUCAUGAUCGCCAGCAGUGUGGUAGCAAGGGGGCUGCCGGUUAAAGGAAUAUGAACUUUGUGAUGUAACAAAUAGAGGACAAUUCUAUUUGUUACUAGUAUGUAGAUGUUUGGUCGCUGGAAGGACUGCCUGCCUGUUGGAUGUGGACCUUACUACUUAGGUAAUACAGUGUGAUUUACUUUGUUACUUGUUACAAUUUUGUGGAACCUGACAGUAAAGAAAUUUGCUUUAAAGUUACUGGUAUGUUUGUAAUUUCCUACAUCUAGACACUUUCGAUUUUGCCUUUCUGCCAACUUCAAAAUCAGAUCAUGUAAUUUCCUUCCAAAUCAGUGGAACAUAUGAACAAAUACUUUUUUUGUGAAUAAUAUAAGUAAGGUACGUGUAGUGCUAUUAUUUGUAAUGUAGGACUGUAAAUAUAGAUCUAAUCACAUUUGUGUAAAUAGGCAAAAUAAAUGAAACAUUGUUUCGAUGAA